Non-coding RNA from Odocoileus virginianus texanus, 372 nucleotides. The record is from RefSeq and is a predicted model, not a curated record. NCBI's taxonomy places the organism in Eukaryota, Metazoa, Chordata, Mammalia, Artiodactyla, Cervidae.
UCAAUAAUUAACUCUUAUUCUACCUCUCUGACAGAGUUGAAGCCCAAGGUAGCCGUUUUCAAGAAAUAAACGAUCACAGUUUGCUACUCCCUCAUCCCCAGUCUUGCCCUCCACACAGAAAAGCCCAGAAGUGGAAUUGCUGGAUCAUAUGAAUUGGAAUUCAAGAAUAAAUCUUUUAGCAACCUGCAGCUUUUCUCACUUCAAAAGGGAUUGCAGCAUCUGUCAUCUUCUCCUCCUUCUCUGCAGGACAAAGGAACUGAUCUCACCAACCACAAAGGCUUUUCGGGGCUCUAAGAACAAUGUGGAAAAGCUUGUCUGAUCCUUGCUCAAGCAGCCUGAUUUCUGAGUUGCACUGUGUUAUUGCCUUUUGAG